This is a long non-coding RNA of Lingula anatina, 718 nucleotides long. Lineage: Eukaryota; Metazoa; Brachiopoda; Lingulata; Lingulida; Lingulidae. The record is from RefSeq and is a predicted model, not a curated record.
GGGGAAGCGUCCAGCGAGUCCUACUAUGGUCUGCCUGCGAGGUGGCGUCAUUGGGGAAGCGUCCUGCGAGUCCUGCCAUGGUCUGUCUACGAGGUGGCUGCACUGGGGAAGCGCCCAAGGCACAUCGUGUUUCAAUGAGAAGGAAAACCCUUAAAGAGAACAAAAGAAAAAGGAAAUGACACCCCAGAAAAUUGCAACGUGAAAACAAAGCGGCUGAACAGCAAGAAGUGCAGUGACCUGAUAUUGCUGGGUUUGCCUUGGAAGAGCAGACGAUGACUUGAAGGCCUACUUCUCACAGUUUGGUGAAGUCAUCAUGGCACAGUUCUUCAUCAGUCUCAGUUUGAUACACGCGUCGUCACUGGACUAGAAUACUAGGAGCUACUACCCCUCAACCUCACCCUCAGUCCUACGGUUGUGGUACUAAGAGGCCAUCGUACAGGCUACGAAAGGGCAGUUUUCCAGAAAUAAUGCCCGAACGCAGAUUCCAUCAAUCCUAGCCUAAAUGUCCAAGAUGUUAUACACUUGAUGGCACUAGCAACGAGCCCCUGUAGCCACUUUCACUGAUAAUCAGACGUCCGAGCAGUCUUUAAGGACACAGCUUGUCUGCAAACAAAUUUACAGAAUGUGGAAUGAUAAUGAAGAGCGAUAUAGUGAAUGUAAGAGGAAUACAGUCUCACAAUGUCCUCAUUUCUCUUGGAUAUUGAGAAUUUUUGCGGUU